UGGGGAAUCUUGGACAAUGGGCGCAAGCCUGAUGCAGCAAUGCCGCGUGAGUGAAGACGGCCUUAGGGUUGUAAAACUCUUUCGCUAGGGAAGAUAAUGACGGUACCUAGUAAAGAAGUCCCGGCUAACCUCCGUGCAGCAGCCGCGUAAUACGGAGGGACUAGCGUUGUUCGGAAUUACUGGGCGUAAAGCGCACGUAGGCGGACCAGAAAGUUGGGGGUGAAAUCCCGGGGGCUCAACCCCGGAACUGCCUCCAAAACUAUUGGUCUAGAGUUCGAGAGAGGUGAGUGGAAUUCCAAGUGUAGAGGUGAAAUUCGUAGAUAUUUGGAGGAACACCAGUGGCGAAGGCGGCUCACUGGCUCGAUACUGACGCUGAGGUGCGAAAGUGUGGGGAGCAAACAGGAUUAGAUACCCUGGUAGUCCACGCUGUAAAACGAUGGGUACUCGGUGGUGCGGGUGUCGACCCCUGCGCUGCCUUAGCUAA
RNAcentral lists this ribosomal RNA (484 nucleotides) under uncultured bacterium. RNAcentral's name for it is "bacterial SSU rRNA". It matches the Rfam family "Bacterial small subunit ribosomal RNA", at positions 355 to 855 of the family's 1533-position model. The record is from RNAcentral.